ACCUUUGUGGUGAAAUGGUAGCACACUCGACGAGUAUUCGAGAGGUCCAGGUUCGAAUCCUAACAAGGCUG
RNAcentral lists this transfer RNA (71 nucleotides) under Stegodyphus mimosarum. It matches the Rfam family "tRNA". Rfam says of the family: Transfer RNA (tRNA) molecules are approximately 80 nucleotides in length. Their secondary structure includes four short double-helical elements and three loops (D, anti-codon, and T loops). The record is from Rfam by way of RNAcentral. Lineage: Eukaryota; Metazoa; Arthropoda; Arachnida; Araneae; Eresidae.